RNAcentral lists this ribosomal RNA (497 nucleotides) under uncultured bacterium. Its description in RNAcentral is "partial 16S ribosomal RNA". It matches the Rfam family "Bacterial small subunit ribosomal RNA", at positions 28 to 507 of the family's 1533-position model. The record is from RNAcentral.
GAUGAACGCUGGCGGCGUGCCUAAUACAUGCAAGUCGAGCGAACAGACGAGGAGCUUGCUCCUCUGACGUUAGCGGCGGACGGGUGAGUAACACGUGGAUAACCUACCUAUAAGACUGGGAUAACUUCGGGAAACCGGAGCUAAUACCGGAUAACAUGUUGAACCGCAUGGUUCAACAGUGAAAGACGGUCUUGCUGUCACUUAUAGAUGGAUCCGCGCCGCAUUAGCUAGUUGGUAAGGUAACGGCUUACCAAGGCAACGAUGCGUAGCCGACCUGAGAGGGUGAUCGGCCACACUGGAACUGAGACACGGUCCAGACUCCUACGGGAGGCAGCAGUAGGGAAUCUUCCGCAAUGGGCGAAAGCCUGACGGAGCAACGCCGCGUGAGUGAAGAAGGUCUUCGGAUCGUAAAACUCUGUUAUUAGGGAAGAACAAAUGUGUAAGUAACUAUGCACGUCUUGACGGUACCUAAUCAGAAAGCUACGGCUAACUACGUG